Molecule: ribosomal RNA, 443 nt
Filed under: uncultured bacterium
Lineage: Bacteria
Description: partial 16S ribosomal RNA
Rfam family: Bacterial small subunit ribosomal RNA
Source: RNAcentral
CCUACGGGUGGCAGCAGUGGGGAAUAUUGGGCAAUGGGCGCAAGCCUGACCCAGCAAUGCCGCGUGAAGGACGAAGGCUUUCGGGUUGUAAACUUCUUUUAUGCGGGACGAAAGAUAUGACGGUACCUCCUGAAUAAGCCACGGCUAACUAGGUGCCCGCAGCCGCGGUAAUACGUAGGUGGCAAGCGUUAUCCGGAUUUACGGGGUGUAAGGGGCGUGUGGGCGGGACUGCAGGUCAGGUGUGAAAAUUAUGGGCUCAACGCGUAACCUGCAUUUGAAACUGUAGUUCUGGUGUGAUGGUGAGGCAGGCGGAAUGUCGGGUGUAGCGGUGAAAUGCGUAGAUAUUAGGAGGAACACCAGUUGCGAAGGCGGCCUACUGGACGGUGAUUGACGCUGAGGCUCGAAAGCGUGGGUAGCAAACAGGAUUAGAUACCCGGGUAGUC